CCUACGGGGAGCAGCAGUGAGGAAUAUUGGUCAAUGGGCGUAAGCCUGAACCAGCCAAGUCGUGUGAGGGAUGCAGGUUCUAUGGAUCGUAAACCUCUUUUAUAAGGGAAUAAAGUGUGGGACGUGUCCUGUUUUGUAUGUACCUUAUGAAUAAGGAUCGGCUAACUCCGUGCCAGCAGCCGCGGUAAUACGGAGGAUCCGAGCGUUAUCCGGAUUUAUUGGGUUUAAAGGGUGCGUAGGCGGUCGUUUAAGUUAGAGGUGAAAUUCCGAGGCUCAACCUCAGAAUUGCCGCUGAUACUGUUCGGCUAGAGAGUAGUUGCGGUAGGCGGAAUGUAUGGUGUAGCGGUGAAAUGCUUAGAGAUCAUACAGAACACCGAUUGCGAAGGCAGCUUACCAAGCUACUACUGACGUUGAGGCACGAAAGCGUGGGGAGCAAACAGGAUUAGAUACCCUUGUAGUC
Molecule: ribosomal RNA, 460 nt
Filed under: uncultured bacterium
Lineage: Bacteria
Description: partial 16S ribosomal RNA
Rfam family: Bacterial small subunit ribosomal RNA
Source: RNAcentral